Molecule: ribosomal RNA, 253 nt
Filed under: uncultured bacterium
Lineage: Bacteria
Description: partial 16S ribosomal RNA
Rfam family: Bacterial small subunit ribosomal RNA
Source: RNAcentral
UACGGGGGGUGCGAGCGUUGUCCGGAAUCACUGGGCGUAAAGGGCGCGUAGGUGGUUUGAUAAGGGUGUGGUGAAAGUCCGGGGCUCAACCCCGGAUCUGCCGUGCCGACUGUCAAACUCGAGGGCUGUAGAGGCAGACGGAAUUCCUGGUGUAGCGGUGAAAUGCGCAGAUAUCAGGAGGAACACCGGUGGCGAAGGCGGGUCUCUGGGCCGUAACUGACGCUGAGGAGCGAAAGCGUGGGGAGCGAACAGG